Long non-coding RNA from Athalia rosae (coleseed sawfly), 5106 nucleotides. RefSeq lists it as uncharacterized. NCBI's taxonomy places the organism in Eukaryota, Metazoa, Arthropoda, Insecta, Hymenoptera, Athaliidae. The transcript has 13 exons. The record is from RefSeq and is a predicted model, not a curated record.
CAACUCCACAUUCCAAGAAAAUAGCUACCAAGGAUAUUGAAAUCCCUGCUCCAAGAACCAUGAACAUUCCUUGGAUAUCGACGAGAGUUAAUCGACGUUCUUCGACUGAUUGUAUUCGUAAAGAUCUCUCACUACUCACCUGUUGAGGAUGCUGAUCUCUGCAUAUCCCAUUUAACAUCACUGGUUAUUUUUUGGACAAGUCCAGCCUGGCUGGCGCGUUGAAUGAUUUCACUAAAUUUUUCCGAGUAUAAAGAUUCCUUAGGCAAAACAAUGCCGACCCCAAAUUGAAUGAAGCAUUCACGACCUAUGUGCAUCAAUGAUCUCUUCGUUUUCCAACUAUGGGCAUCGAUAAAUGACCCUCUGCCACUGUUGGAACAAGUUCAACCUUCCUGAACAACUUCAUUAUUUUUGGUUCAUCAAUUUCCUGGAAAUAAGACUCCCAGCCAUCGUGAUCUGCAUCGUAGAGUGACAGGCUUUCUCGCACCAAUUACUCCACCAACAAGUGGCCCGCAGCUUAUUCCGACUCUCAAAUCAAAAUUAUUAAAAGAAUGGACGUUUACAUCUUCUAAACGUUGUCGCAUGGCAACAGCAUAGUCUACUAAUCUGCAGAGAUGCUCCAUGUCAUCGAUAUCCUUAUCCUGGUUGAAAAGGUCAACUAUUGUGACAAGGUUUUAAACCUAAAAGUAUCUCGUUGAGGAAUUCUACGUACAUUAUGACAGGGGUUUAGCCCAGACGCUGCCAUUCUGAUGCACUCCAUACCCUUAUUCACAUCUUCUGAAUAAAACUCUGUGAAAUUUGGAACGCUGGCAAACAUUACGCCAACUUUGUCUCGCGACUGGGAGUAGAGCUCCUGUAAAUAUCAAGUUUUGAAUGCGACGGAAAGCAUGUAUAAUUCAGCGUGAACCUUGCAUAUUGUACCUCCGGUGCCCUGUCCUGCGUAAGAAAGUGCUUGUUGUUUCCAAAGAAAAUCAAGUCGUGACGUAACCUCGACAAGCCUGCCAUGGUAUGUCACCAUUACAAGAAACAUGGCGAGAAAAAUGAGCAUCUGAGCUGACAGUGGAAUCGUUCGUCUAAAUUGACAGUUGAAUCAUAGUUAAGUUACAUAUGAUUAUCCUAAGUCUUGUAAAUCGAAACUCACGUGUUUUCUUCGUUGAUUCUGAGUGUAAAAUGCUCCCUAUAGAUCACAAGUAUCAGUAAAGCAUAGACGAGCACGAUGAUUGUGGCUAAAGCUGUUUUGACAAGGUUCUACCCUGGGAUUCCUCCACUUUCCAGAUGAUUGGCUAGUGUAACGUCGUAUGACCAAACGUCAAACUGCCAUUUUCUAAGGCCUAAGACACCACAGAGAACUGAACCGCUGUGAAUUCCAAUCCGCAUAUUCAGAUCUGUCUAUGAAAAUGGUUCUCCAAUGGGACGUCACCCAACAAAUAAUGCGGGUCUCUAUCACCCUCCAGCUCCAGCGACACGUAAUCAAUAUCGAUGAUAGAUUAUGAAUUUCCCAGCCAAAAAUUUGGGUUGAUUGAUUUUAAGUUAUUCGAAUACACUGAGCGAUUUUUGGACUUGCAAUUCAGAACAAAUGUCUUUUGGCUUAUGCUUAAAGAUGAGGGAUGCUUUUUAAAUUUUCAGUAAUGAUGAAACGCACCAGAAAGCAGGAGUUUUUCUUGCCUGUUGUUCUCAUUUUGCGUCCUAUGCCUGGUUUCAAGUGAUCUAUGUGUCUCUAAGAAGGCCUGUCGCUGCCCCCUGUCAGUUAAAUAUUUUGUAUACAUGCCCGCCAGAUUGACAGCUACGUAAAGUAGAACAUUUGUAGUAAGUAGACGUGGAAAGCAGACUUCAUUCUAUAAACAAAAAAAACAACAAUAUUGAUAACUUUCAGUUUUGUUCUCAUCAAUUUGCAUUAAUAACUGUACAUGAUAGUUACUCACAUAUUCGGUGUUGUUUUUCAAAUUUAUAACAGACAUAAUUGUAUGUGUCAAGGCAGUGCCAAAGCCGGCAAGAACACACCACCGCAGAGGAAGUGGUAGCAUAGCAUAGGGAGCGUAAACAACGAAUAGAAUGUACCAAACUAGACGUUGCUGGGUAGAAAAGGUCAGAUUUGCACCAAUGAAACCUGCAACAGGGUUUAAAAAAACAAAAGGAAAAACAAUGAAUCACCUCCUUUUAUUAUACCACAUGGGUGAAUAAGCUGCUAUAGAACACUUGAUUGAUUCUGAACACAGUGGCGCAAGUUAAUUAGCUGCGAAUUGUUGGUGACAUAGGAAGGGCCACAGACUAGUGGAUAUCUUUUUAAUUUAUCAAGUAAUUGUUAAACUAUGAUUCUAUAUACAUCUACGUUAUUGUAGCUUGGGAAAUCUAAUAACACCAUCACAGUUAUUUUAGCUACUGCAAUUGAUGUCCAUAGUUUUUUUGAUGAACAAAUAGGUGUGAUGUUUUAGGUAAUAUACCUUGUGAGUUGACAAGGAGCCAGGUGAAUAUUGAAGCCCAGUAUAAAUACUUGUUCGAAAAGCAUCGCCACCAGCCAAGAAUGCAUACUACAAGAUUUGCCAGCAUGCAGCACACCGUCCAAGACAAGGACUCUGUCAAGCCGGUAGAAUUUUUGUUUCUCCUCCACAGCCAAAUUGUCAUGAGAGCGAUCUGCAAAUUAUAGCUUCAAUUGGUUCUUCAUCUUCUGUUGGUGGUUUACGAUCUUCCCAAGCUGCGAGCGCCUCUCUUCCAAGACGUUCUGAAGUCAAUUUCUUUACUGCUUUUAUCCAAAGCUGUUUCCUCGGUGAUAUUCCAAGCCUAGAGAUGGAGAAUACCAAAAAAGAGGGAAGCAAGAAGGAGACCAAGCAAAUUUAAAAUCUAAAUUUGCUCCAAUUUCAAAUCUCUGAAGAUCAAUGACGCUAUCGGGCAAAUACAAGAAAAAUACGAGAAGAAAGAACUGGCCGAUCAAAAGAACAUAUAGAUCAUUCAGAGAGACAUGAAUUUAAGUAAUUCAAUCAUACUAGCUUCUAAAGAAAUUUUAAUAAGAAAAAAUUCAAUCGUAUCAUAAUAAUUAGGUACAAAAUAAUAACAAAGAGAAUUGCGACAGUAUAAUUUGUCACUUAUAAAAAGAUUGCUUGUGCCAAAGACCUAAUUUCAUUUUGGAUUCGCUUCCAAAAUCCGCUCCAAUUCAAUGGGAUGAUUUUAGAAGUUAGAAAAUUCACUUAAAGACUCAUCAUUUUUCCAAAUUUUAACAUGAAAAAGGAAAUUAAAUGCAUCAUACUGUGUACCUUAAACAUUCGGUGGAUUGAACUGAAAAAUCCAAAUAAGUAUGCAACGACUAAAUUCUUCAAUGCACUUGAUUAACUAGCCGGUUUUCGUUUUACACACCAUAAACACACCAAUACAACACUCAUGACAUUAUGCCAUAACAAAAAAUGCUUAACUGAUAAUGUCAUCGUUGAUCAAUGGUCUCAUCUUACCGUAAUAAGCAUUAUCAAUUUGAAAUUCAUUAAUAUCAAUAAUAAUGUGAGUAGAAUCAAAAAUAAAAUUGAAAUUCAAUCUGAUCCAGUCGAUAACUGUAUAUUAAUUUGUUUUCAUGUUUUUCACAAAUGAAUAGAUAAAAAAAACUAAUAGUUUUGAAAAAUAUCAACAAACACUUUUAAUUUUUAUAUUUUAUUCGUGUUCGCAAUCUUUUUAUUUGUUGCGUGUAAUAAAUUCUCUUUGUAGCGGAGUAUGUUUCGAGUGGUCCGUCCAGUAAGACGAGACUUCAUGAACUAAACUAGUGGGGUUGAUAAAUAUCGUCGUAGUUUACCGCGCCGCUCGCGUUGAACGAGAUUUUGAUCAGUUUUAAAAGGCCAACUCUGAACAAACAAAUCAACGAACGGCUUUGGAAACGCUCAGGAUAUUGAGUAAUAAUAGAUAAAUACCAUCGAAACUUCAUACCAACGUAAUUGUUGAUCCGACAGCACAUUGCAUAGCAUGAAAAAAUAGAAAAAAAAAGCGAAACUAGUCGAAAUUGGAAAUUUAUAGUCCUGAUUCAAGAAUGUAGAUACGAUUAAGCAAUGAAAUUUAUAAACCUUUUUUCGUAUUUUCCGAUUUAUUCAUAAGUAAAACGAAUUUGAAAAGAUAAAAUGAAUGUUUAAAUUAAUCGAUUAAUCUUUUUUCAAACGGUAAUUGAUUUAAAAUUAUGAUGUAAAACCUGAGGAACUGAAAUUGUAUUAUUUCAGAAUGACUGACAUUUCAAUUGAUAGAAAUUCAUCUCGGGAUAAUUCAAAAUCGUCACCUCCGUCAACGAGUAUUCAAAUUCUAUGAUUCAAAUAUGGCGGCUUCAGUCUGAUUCGAUUGUUCGAUCGAAAAGUAUCGACCUCUUCUAUAAUUCACACACUGCUUAGUAUAAAUCAGUGUGUAUCAGUGGUAUGCACAGCGCACUAUUCUUCAGUCAAUGGUAUGUAUAUAAGUAAAUUUACUGGAAGCCUAUAAUUCUGAAUCUACAGAAAUGUAUUGCGCGCAAAUUUCCUUGUCUGAAAAUAACAAAAUUCCCCCCUCUGCCCUCAAGUAAUUCGUUUCAGAAAAAAAUCUAUUUCAAAAAUAACAAUCAAAGCGAUAAAUACACUUUUUUGACCAAUCAAGAAGGCAUCGUGAACAAAAUUUCAGAAUUGCGCGUCUCGAGUCAUAUUAACACGGAUUCAAAUUUCCGGUGGAAAUACGCCAUAUGUUUUCAAUUCAACCAAUAACAUCACCGUUGCCGUACAACGUGAACAAUUUUCCGUUUAAAUUCCAUCAAAUCUAGCCUUGCAAAUUGCCUCAAAUCUUUCAACAUCUUUUGAUUCUCGAAAACUAUCAUCAAAUGAUUCUUCAUCUUAUUCGUUUCACAAUAAAAAUAUUGUUUUUAAUUCUUAGGCCAUGAAAAUAUUCCCACUCCCAAAUAAGAACUAUUUUCUUCCGCGUAACAAAAUGGCAGUUCUUAGGUCCUGUAUAUAACGUAGGAGCGGAAUACUAUCCCUGCCUCUUCCUCAUUAAGAGUUGAGUUGUGUUCACGUGUGGUUGUGUCUCCUUUUUCCACAAAAAUAGGUCACACAACCCACCUCCAUUCGUGAAUAAUUAACUCUUCUAAGAAAAAAAAUUAAAAAAAAAUAAAAAAAAAAACCC